This 253-nucleotide ribosomal RNA is filed under the name uncultured bacterium. RNAcentral describes it as "partial 16S ribosomal RNA". It matches the Rfam family "Bacterial small subunit ribosomal RNA", at positions 524 to 776 of the family's 1533-position model. The record is from RNAcentral.
GACAGAGGGUGCAAACGUUGCUCGGAAUUACUGGGCGUAAAGCGCGUGUAGGUGGAUUGGUAAGUCGGAUGUGAAAUCCCAGAGCUCAACUCUGGAACUGCACCCGAAACUGCUUGUCUUGAGUCAUGGAGAGGAAAGUGGAAUUCCUGGUGUAGAGGUGAAAUUCGUAGAUAUCAGGAGGAACAUCGGUGGCGAAGGCGGCUUUCUGGACAUGCACUGACACUGAGACGCGAAAGCGUGGGGAGCAAACAGG